Molecule: RNase P RNA, 310 nt
Filed under: Scophthalmus maximus (turbot)
Lineage: Eukaryota; Metazoa; Chordata; Actinopteri; Pleuronectiformes; Scophthalmidae
Description: Nuclear RNase P (ENSSMAG00000006269.2)
Rfam family: Nuclear RNase P
About the family: Ribonuclease P (RNase P) is a ubiquitous endoribonuclease, found in archaea, bacteria and eukarya as well as chloroplasts and mitochondria. Its best characterised activity is the generation of mature 5'-ends of tRNAs by cleaving the 5'-leader elements of precursor-tRNAs.
Source: Rfam by way of RNAcentral
GUGGGCGGAAGCUCAUUGUAGAGGUCACAUGCUGAGUGCUCGUCACUCCACCAAUCACCUCGGGGAAGGUCUGAGACAAGAGCCAAUCGUUGCUCUAGCAGGGCAUCACCUGAUUCGGGUGAGCGAGUGAACAGAAAUCAUGGUCCCGUGUGAGCGGUCGUAGCAGGAGAAGCCGGUCGGCGCAGAUUUGUCAGCGCCAUCCGGUGGAUGUGGCGCUCACUGGAUUGGAAUCGCUCGCGGCUGGCGGAUGAGUGCGAUGUAUGAGGUGGUGCACAGCUCCACAACCCAAUUCAGACUACUCUCCCCCCAC